Molecule: ribosomal RNA, 450 nt
Filed under: uncultured bacterium
Lineage: Bacteria
Description: partial 16S ribosomal RNA
Rfam family: Bacterial small subunit ribosomal RNA
Source: RNAcentral
GUGGGGAAUCUUCCACAAUGGACGAAAGUCUGAUGGAGCAACGCCGCGUGAGUGAAGAAGGGUUUCGGCUCGUAAAGCUCUGUUGUCGGGGACGAAUGUGCAGUAUUUGAAUAAAGUAUUGCAAUGACGGUACCUGACGAGGAAGCCACGGCUAACUACGUGCCAGCAGCCGCGGUAAUACGUAGGUGGCAAGCGUUGUCCGGAAUUAUUGGGCGUAAAGGGAGCGCAGGCGGGAAGGUAAGUCGGUCUUAAAAGUGCGGGGCUCAACCCCGUGAUGGGAUCGAAACUAUCUUUCUUGAGUGCAGGAGAGGAAAGUGGAAUUCCUAGUGUAGCGGUGAAAUGCGUAGAUAUUAGGAGGAACACCAGUGGCGAAGGCGACUUUCUGGACUGUAACUGACGCUGAGGCUCGAAAGCCAGGGGAGCGAACGGGAUUAGAUACCCGGGUAGUCC